This 467-nucleotide ribosomal RNA is filed under the name uncultured bacterium. RNAcentral's name for it is "partial 16S ribosomal RNA". It matches the Rfam family "Bacterial small subunit ribosomal RNA", at positions 28 to 507 of the family's 1533-position model. The record is from RNAcentral.
GAUGAACGCUGGCGGCGUGCUUAACACAUGCAAGUCGAACGGAAAGGCCCAAGCUUGCUUGGGUACUCGAGUGGCGAACGGGUGAGUAACACGUGGGUGAUCUGCCCUGCACUUCGGGAUAAGCCUGGGAAACUGGGUCUAAUACCGGAUAGGACGAUGGUUUGGAUGCCAUUGUGGAAAGUUUUUUCGGUGUGGGAUGAGCUCGCGACCUAUCAGCUUGUUGGUGGGGUAAUGGCCUACCAAGGCGUCGACGGGUAGCCGGCCUGAGAGGGUGUACGGCCACAUUGGGACUGGGAUACGGCCCAGACUCCUACGGGAGGCAGCAGUGGGGAAGAUUGCACAAUGGGCGCAAGCCUGAUGCAGCGACGCCGCGUGGGGGAUGACGGCCUUCGGGUUGUAAACUCCUUUCGCUAGGGACGAAGCGUUUUGUGACGGUACCUGGAGAAGAAGCACCGGCUAACUACGUG